GGUAGGUUAGCUCAGAUGGAUAAGGUGUGGCACUAAUAAUGCUGAGGUCAUGGGUUCAAUCCCCAUACUGAACA
This 74-nucleotide transfer RNA is filed under the name Xiphophorus maculatus (southern platyfish). It matches the Rfam family "tRNA". From Rfam's summary of the family: Transfer RNA (tRNA) molecules are approximately 80 nucleotides in length. Their secondary structure includes four short double-helical elements and three loops (D, anti-codon, and T loops). The record is from Rfam by way of RNAcentral. Lineage: Eukaryota; Metazoa; Chordata; Actinopteri; Cyprinodontiformes; Poeciliidae.